AUGUUUUCAUCACAGUCCUUGAGCCACGUCAACAACAUCCGUACUGCCCUCAUCAACGCGCAGAAGGGUAACCAGUCGGUUGCCGCCUACUUCGCCUCCAUGCGUGGCCUCGCCGACGAGAUCGCCACGGCCGGCAAGGCAAUCUAGGAUGACGAGCUCAUCUCCUACAUCCUUCACGGGCCGGACAUGGACUAUCAGCCCCUCGUCUCGGCUCUCAACGCCCGCGACACGCCUGUCUCCCUUGACGAGCUCUUCGCCAUGCUAAGCCACUUCGACUACCGUGUCACUCAGUUCUAGAACUCCGCCGGCAGCUUCAAGUCGUCCGCGAACGCAGCCACCCGCGACCGCGAUGGCUACUCGUCUCGUCACCAUGGCCCUCCUCGUCCCAAGGGCAAGCAAGGCGGCUCCAGCAACUCCACCGGCUCCGGCUCCCGCAAUGGCCGCCCCAACUCCGUCAACAAUCGAGGGCACCGUGGUGCUUCUGGCAUCAGAACCUCAUCCUGGCAACUAAGACGGAGACACGACGCAUUCCCCUCCACCGUCAGCAGCCUUCUCACCAAUGUGUCCGCCUCCUAG
Molecule: ribosomal RNA, 576 nt
Filed under: Triticum aestivum (bread wheat)
Lineage: Eukaryota; Viridiplantae; Streptophyta; Magnoliopsida; Poales; Poaceae
Description: partial small subunit ribosomal RNA
Source: RNAcentral